This 429-nucleotide ribosomal RNA is filed under the name uncultured bacterium. RNAcentral describes it as "bacterial SSU rRNA". It matches the Rfam family "Bacterial small subunit ribosomal RNA", at positions 355 to 796 of the family's 1533-position model. The record is from RNAcentral.
UCGAGAAUCUUCCGCAAUGGACGAAAGUCUGACGGAGCGACGCCGCGUGAUUGAUGAAGUCCCUCUGGGACGUAAAGAUCUUUUAUCAGGGAGAAAGUUUAUUGAUAGUACCUGAUGAAUAAGGGGUUGCUAAACUCGUGCCAGCAGCAGCGGUAAUACGAGUGCCCCAAGCGUUAUCCGGAAUCACUGGGCGUAAAGGGUGUGUAGGUGGUCAUGUUAGUCUCUCGUUAAAUUCUUCGGCUCAACCGGGGACCUGCGGGAGAAACGGCACGACUAGAGGAUGUGAGGGGUGCAUGGAACUCAUGGAGUAGGGGUGAAAUCCGUUGAUAUCAUGGGGAACACCAAAAGCGAAGGCAGUGCACUGGCACAUUCCUGACACUGAAACACGAAAGCGUAGGUAGCGAAUGGGAUUAGAUACCCCUGUAGUCC